Stomoxys calcitrans (stable fly) is the source of this 495-nucleotide long non-coding RNA. RefSeq lists it as uncharacterized. The record is from RefSeq and is a predicted model, not a curated record. The transcript has 3 exons. NCBI's taxonomy places the organism in Eukaryota, Metazoa, Arthropoda, Insecta, Diptera, Muscidae.
CGAUGAUUUCAAGUAAUUUUUUUGAAACCUGAAUAGUAAUCAACACGCAAAAAGAUGAGAUAUUCCCUAAAAGUUAUAAUAAACGAUUUAAGCAUGCAGCUACCGUAUAUAACAAGCAGCCAGCCGCACCUCCAUCAACCCAGCAAGACAAGAAUGCUCAAAAUUUGAAGAGCUCCAUGUACCUGAAUCUCUCAAACUUACAACAUGCAGGUAGAUGCAAAAAAUGUUCUUGUAUCGAAACGGAAAGUCAUUGGUUGUCAUUCACUUGGAAAUGCUUACACGUAGCUCUCUAAUUCUAGUUUUAGUUUAAGUAUCCCAUGUUACUGCUAUUAAGAAAUAAAUACAUAACUGACGACCCGGAAUGGGAUAUCUUUGAGCAUCACACCAGCUGGAACAUUGAGGUCCAAUCUAUGUGGCGUUCAUAGCUGUUUCGAGAAGCUAAGCUGCAAGCUACCGGGCGCGUCCAUAGGUUGCUGAUAGUGGAAUGCUACAUAC